AUUGAACGCUGGCGGCAUGCCUUACACAUGCAAGUCGAACGGCAGCGCGGGCAACCUGGCGGCGAGUGGCGAACGGGUGAGUAACAUAUCGGAACAUACCCUAGAGUGGGGGAUAACGUAGCGAAAGUUACGCUAAUACCGCAUACGCACUAAGGUGGAAAGUGGGGGAUCUUCGGACCUCAUGCUCAUGGAGUGGCCGAUAUCUGAUUAGCUAGUUGGUGAGGUAAAGGCUCACCAAGGCGACGAUCAGUAGCUGGUUUGAGAGAACGACCAGCCACACUGGAACUGAGACACGGUCCAGACUCCUACGGGAGGCAGCAGUGGGGAAUUUUGGACAAUGGGGGCAACCCUGAUCCAGCAAUGCCGCGUGAGUGAAGAAGGCCUCGG
This 387-nucleotide ribosomal RNA is filed under the name uncultured bacterium. Its description in RNAcentral is "bacterial SSU rRNA". It matches the Rfam family "Bacterial small subunit ribosomal RNA", at positions 30 to 420 of the family's 1533-position model. The record is from RNAcentral.